This 101-nucleotide unclassified non-coding RNA is filed under the name Methanocaldococcus jannaschii. RNAcentral's name for it is "RNA (101-MER) from Methanocaldococcus jannaschii (PDB 1Z43, chain A)". The stretch from base 50 to 94 matches the Rfam family "Bacterial small signal recognition particle RNA", at positions 23 to 67 of the family's 97-position model. Lineage: Archaea; Methanobacteriati; Methanobacteriota; Methanococci; Methanococcales; Methanocaldococcaceae. The record is from RNAcentral.
GCUCGGCGGUGGGGGAGCAUCUCCUGUAGGGGAGAUGUAACCCCCUUUACCUGCCGAACCCCGCCAGGCCCGGAAGGGAGCAACGGUAGGCAGGACGUCGG